Non-coding RNA from Phrynosoma platyrhinos (Desert horned lizard), 73 nucleotides. Lineage: Eukaryota; Metazoa; Chordata; Lepidosauria; Squamata; Phrynosomatidae. The record is from the annotation of a GenBank genome assembly.
ACCAGUGUGGUGUAGUGGUUUGAGUGUUGGACUAGGCCUCCAGGAGACCAGCGUUCAAAUCCCUGCUCAGACA